Molecule: ribosomal RNA, 468 nt
Filed under: uncultured bacterium
Lineage: Bacteria
Description: partial 16S ribosomal RNA
Rfam family: Bacterial small subunit ribosomal RNA
Source: RNAcentral
GACGAACGCUGGCGGCGUGCUUAACACAUGCGAGUCGAACGGAAAGGCCCUGCUUUUGUGGGGUGCUCGAGUGGCGAACGGGUGAGUAACACGUGAGUAACCUGCCCUUGACUUUGGGUUAACUUCAGGAAACUGGGGCUAAUACCGGAUAGGAGCUCCUGCUGCAUGGUGGGGGUUGGAAAGUUUCGGCGGUUGGGGAUGGACUCGCGGCUUAUCAGCUUGUUGGUGGGGUAGUGGCUUACCAAGGCUUUGACGGGUAGCCGGCCUGAGAGGGUGACCGGCCACAUUGGGACUGAGAUACGGCCCAGACUCCUACGGGAGGCAGCAGUGGGGAAUAUUGCACAAUGGGCGGAAGCCUGAUGCAGCAACGCCGCGUGCGGGAUGACGGCCUUCGGGUUGUAAACCGCUUUCGCCUGUGACGAAGCGUGAGUGACGGUAAUGGGUAAAGAAGCACCGGCUAACUACGUG